CAAUAUUCAUGAUUUGGUUUUCACUUUGAGGACUGGUUCUUUGGUUGAAAUCUGUUUGGCUGGAAAUUUUGAGACACUGAUUGGGUUUGUUCGUUAUGAGGUUCUCAGGUCGAGUAUUUUGGUCUUCAGAUUUCUUUAUUAUCGACAAGGAUCAGUUUUAUCGAGGUCCAUUUCUUCUACCGAUCUUUAUUUUAUCUUGACUCUUUAUUGAUGUUGUGGGUGUGAAUGAUUUAUUUGUUGUGUGAAUCUUCGUUGUUUGUGUUGUGUUUGAUUUUGGUUUCGGAUUAUGAGAUGUGAUUGGAAAAUCGAAGCAUACACUAAUCAUGUGGUUAAAAAUGGACUUGGGGGGUGAGAAUUAACAUUUGAUAUAAUUGGAUAUUUGGAUUAGUUGAUUUCAUUGUGUGUUUAACUUGAAACGAGCGCUAAUUGAACUUGGUAGUAUCGUGAUAUGCCGAUUGGUUUAGGCAAAGGUAGGUUGGGUAGGCAAGAUGUAGGAUUUGUGAUUGUUGAAUGGUGAAAUGUUGGUGGAAUGGUUUUGAUUUAUACAUUGACAUCUAUUGUAUUAAUUCGGCUGGGGAAUGCCCCGAAGUAUCUGUAUAUAUUUAUUCACCGAGGAAUGCCCCGAAGUACCUUGUACUUGGAAGAUGUUCGUGGUAAAGUCCCGAGG
RNAcentral lists this long non-coding RNA (667 nucleotides) under Capsicum annuum. Its description in RNAcentral is "long non-coding RNA (CANN_LNC022322)". Lineage: Eukaryota; Viridiplantae; Streptophyta; Magnoliopsida; Solanales; Solanaceae. The record is from RNAcentral.